Rhagoletis pomonella (apple maggot) is the source of this 694-nucleotide RNA transcript. RefSeq lists it as uncharacterized. The record is from RefSeq and is a predicted model, not a curated record. The transcript is spliced from 3 exons. NCBI's taxonomy places the organism in Eukaryota, Metazoa, Arthropoda, Insecta, Diptera, Tephritidae.
UGUCGCUGGUGUAGUUGAAGAGAAAUAUCAAAUUUUGUUUACUUUUAUGGCCCACGGGAAUUUAGUUAAAAUUUGUAAUUUUGAUAUAAUUUGCUCUAAAUCAGAAAUUAAAAGCCGCAAUCUCGGUCUAUUUCAUUAUAAUAUUAAGAAAGAGUGUUGUGCUAAUAAAUACGUGGUCAAGAUGAGUGAGUUGCGAAGAUAUUUGUUUCGUAUCUCAGUGAACUCUCAGCGAGCUUUAAGGAACCGUUUGCGAAGCAAAAGAAAAUUGUUGCGGGAAUCCAUGGAUCCCUUCUGUAUUUCAGAGGAACGGUUCACAGAAAUUAUUCGACUUCCAAAAGAAAUAUGUAGAAAUGUUUUUAAUUAAAUCCGCCCCUUUACGUUGCAAAGGACAUCAAGUUGUGGAUUGUCGAAAGUUUUAAGGUUCCUUGUAGCAUUGCGAUUUUUCGCUCAAUUAUGAAGCUAUCAACGUUCGGUGGGACAAGACUUCUUACUUAAUGUAUCCCAAAGCAGCGUCAGUAGAUGCAUUAGAGAAAUUGCCAGUAUCAUGGACAAAUACUUGUUAACUAGAUACAUUAAGUUUCCAUCAACAGUUGAAGAAAAACAGGCUAUUUUAUCAAGAGUUCAGAUUCCCUGGGAUCAUAGGAGACAUUAAGGGAUCGCAUAUUAAAUUAAAGACUCCAUCCAAAGACAUUGA